GCCUAUCGAAUACAGAACCUUUAGGAGUGGGACCCAGGAGCUCUGUUAACAAGGCCUCCAGGUGAUUUGGAACACAGAAACCAGGAACCUUCAGUUACUCCAGCAUGAAGGAAUCAACUGCUAUAGAGACCACAUUCCCUGGAGUUUUAUAAACUAUGCUGGUCAUCAGAUCACUUUUAGACAUCAUGUAAGUGUUGUUUUCACGUAUAACCAACCAAUGACUUUCAUGAUAGUCACAAACAAAAACAGAAUAGUGCUUUCCCCAAAUGGAAAUGUUUUAUGGUUCUGUCUUCUAGUUCCCUGAGACAGACACAUCUGAAGAUGCCACUCUGAAUGCCACCAUGUAAGGAAGCCUGUCCAGUCUAUCAGGGGAAAAGGCGCCACGUGGAUAGAAAUCAAACCAAAAUGCCACAGCCAAAGGCUGGCACCAAGGCCAGGCAUGUGACCAAGGCAUCUUAAACCUCCCAGCCUCAAGCUACUGUACGUAGCCACAUGAGUGAGCACAAGCAGAAUCAGCAAAGGGACACUCCAGCAAACCCACAGAAUGGUGAGAAAAAAUAAAUGAUGGUUGUUGUAAGCCA
RNAcentral lists this long non-coding RNA (581 nucleotides) under Homo sapiens (human). RNAcentral's name for it is "hepatocellular carcinoma up-regulated long non- coding RNA". Lineage: Eukaryota; Metazoa; Chordata; Mammalia; Primates; Hominidae. The record is from RNAcentral.